Non-coding RNA from Triticum aestivum (bread wheat), 135 nucleotides. The record is from Rfam. NCBI's taxonomy places the organism in Eukaryota, Viridiplantae, Streptophyta, Magnoliopsida, Poales, Poaceae.
CUUAUACUCCCUCCGUCCGGAAAUACUUGUCAUCAAAUUGAAUAAAAGACGAUGCAUCUAGACAUAUUUUAGUUCUAGAUACAUCUCUUUUUAUCCAUUUUGAUGACAAGUAUUUUCGGACGGAGGGAGUAUUUG